AUGGACUCCUCCUCCAUCUCCGGGGCCGCCGUCGCGGGGCCGACGCCAAGCCGCCGCGCCAACUACGGCCCGGUCCUCGAGGACGAGCCGCCGCGCCUCCGCUUCACCGUCGGGCAGUACCCGUCCAGGUUCCCGCUGGCGGACGCCCCCGGCUUCCUCUCCUCCAUCGGCGCCGCCCUCGCCCGCCACGCCGACGCCGACGCCCAGGUCGAGUCGCUCGAGAUCUCCCUCGUCUUCCGCGCCCCGCACCAGCACUACAUCGCCAGCCUCGGCACGUACGCCACGGAUCACCCCCACGCCGCGCUCGUCACGGCCGACCACGUCCGCGCGUGGCUGCGCUUCGGCAUGGCCCGCGCCGCGGGCUCCUUCGUGCUCGAGCUGCCACCACGCGCGCCGCCGACGACCGAAGAGUGCGCGUCGGGUGCGGCGGCGGAGGCAGAGAAGAGCGGCAUGGCUCUGGAGCUGCCUCGCUCGGCCGCGGCGGCGACCCUGGCGCUGACCCUGGGCGACGCCACCCUCGCGCUCCCCGUGCCCGCGGAGGCCUCGUUCGACGCGCUCGGGGAACUGCUGCUCGGCAACGCCCGGAUCAGCGACCAGCACCGCCUCAGCGAGCUCCUCUCGUCCCCGUCCUUCCCUCGCCUGAAGAGGCUUCGGCUCGAGCACCUGGCGGGCGUGGGGGAGCUGGACCUCUGCGUCGGUGACCUCGAGGAGCUGGCGAUCGUGGGCGUGCGCGACCUGUGA
RNAcentral lists this ribosomal RNA (741 nucleotides) under Triticum aestivum (bread wheat). RNAcentral's name for it is "partial small subunit ribosomal RNA". The record is from RNAcentral. Lineage: Eukaryota; Viridiplantae; Streptophyta; Magnoliopsida; Poales; Poaceae.